AGAGCGAACGCUGGCGGCAUGCUUAACACAUGCAAGUCGCACGGGCAGCAAUGUCAGUGGCGGACGGGUGAGUAACGCGUAGGUAUCUAUCCUUGGGUGGGGGACAACUGUGGGAAACUACAGCUAAUACCGCAUAACAACUGAGGUUCAAAGGCGCAAGUCGCCUGAGGAGGAGCCUGCGUACGAUUAGCUAGUUGGUGGGGUAAAGGCCUACCAAGGCGACGAUCGUUAGCUGGUCUGAGAGGAUGAUCAGCCACAUUGGGACUGAGACACGGCCCAAACUCCUACGGGAGGCAGCAGUGGGGAAUAUUGGACAAUGGGCGAAAGCCUGAUCCAGCAAUGCCGCGUGUGUGAAGAAGGUCUUCGGAUUGUAAAGCACUUUCGACGGGGACGAUGAUGACGGUACCCGUAGAAGAAGCCCCGGCUAACUUCGCGCCAGCAGCCGC
RNAcentral lists this ribosomal RNA (446 nucleotides) under uncultured bacterium. Its description in RNAcentral is "SSU rRNA". It matches the Rfam family "Bacterial small subunit ribosomal RNA", at positions 26 to 518 of the family's 1533-position model. The record is from RNAcentral.